RNAcentral lists this ribosomal RNA (1247 nucleotides) under Salmonella enterica. RNAcentral describes it as "partial 23S ribosomal RNA". It matches the Rfam family "Bacterial large subunit ribosomal RNA", at positions 1713 to 2925 of the family's 2925-position model. The record is from RNAcentral. Lineage: Bacteria; Pseudomonadati; Pseudomonadota; Gammaproteobacteria; Enterobacterales; Enterobacteriaceae.
CUAGGCAAAAUGGUGCCGUAACUUCGGGAGAAGGCACGCUGACACGUAGGUGAAGUGAUUUACUCAUGGAGCUGAAGUCAGUCGAAGAUACCAGCUGGCUGCAACUGUUUAUUAAAAACACAGCACUGUGCAAACACGAAAGUGGACGUAUACGGUGUGACGCCUGCCCGGUGCCGGAAGGUUAAUUGAUGGGGUCAGCGCAAGCGAAGCUCCUGAUCGAAGCCCCGGUAAACGGCGGCCGUAACUAUAACGGUCCUAAGGUAGCGAAAUUCCUUGUCGGGUAAGUUCCGACCUGCACGAAUGGCGUAAUGAUGGCCAGGCUGUCUCCACCCGAGACUCAGUGAAAUUGAACUCGCUGUGAAGAUGCAGUGUACCCGCGGCAAGACGGAAAGACCCCGUGAACCUUUACUAUAGCUUGACACUGAACAUUGAGCCUUGAUGUGUAGGAUAGGUGGGAGGCUUUGAAGUGUGGACGCCAGUCUGCAUGGAGCCGACCUUGAAAUACCACCCUUUAAUGUUUGAUGUUCUAACGUGGACCCGUAAUCCGGGUUGCGGACAGUGUCUGGUGGGUAGUUUGACUGGGGCGGUCUCCUCCUAAAGAGUAACGGAGGAGCACGAAGGUUGGCUAAUCCUGGUCGGACAUCAGGAGGUUAGUGCAAUGGCAUAAGCCAGCUUGACUGCGAGCGUGACGGCGCGAGCAGGUGCGAAAGCAGGUCAUAGUGAUCCGGUGGUUCUGAAUGGAAGGGCCAUCGCUCAACGGAUAAAAGGUACUCCGGGGAUAACAGGCUGAUACCGCCCAAGAGUUCAUAUCGACGGCGGUGUUUGGCACCUCGAUGUCGGCUCAUCACAUCCUGGGGCUGAAGUAGGUCCCAAGGGUAUGGCUGUUCGCCAUUUAAAGUGGUACGCGAGCUGGGUUUAGAACGUCGUGAGACAGUUCGGUCCCUAUCUGCCGUGGGCGCUGGAGAACUGAGGGGGGCUGCUCCUAGUACGAGAGGACCGGAGUGGACGCAUCACUGGUGUUCGGGUUGUCAUGCCAAUGGCACUGCCCGGUAGCUAAAUGCGGAAGAGAUAAGUGCUGAAAGCAUCUAAGCACGAAACUUGCCCCGAGAUGAGUUCUCCCUGAGACUUAGAGUCUCCUGAAGGAACGUUGAAGACGACGACGUUGAUAGGCCGGGUGUGUAAGCGCAGCGAUGCGUUGAGCUAACCGGUACUAAUGAACCGUGAGGCUUAACCUUACAACGCCAAAG